GAUGAAGAACGUAGCGAAAUGCGAUAAGUAAUGUGAAUUGCAGAAUUCCGUGAAUCAUCGAGUCUUUGAACGCACAUUGCGCCCCCUGGUAUUCCGGGGGGCAUGCCUGUCCGAGCGUCAUUGCUGCCCUCAAGCACGGCUUGUGUGUUGGGCUCCGUCCCCCCGGGGACGGGUCCGAAAGGCAGCGGCGGCACCGAGUCCGGUCCUCGAGCGUAUGGGGCUUUGUCACCCGCUCUGUAGGCCCGGCCGGCGCCAGCCGACAACCAAUCAUCCUUUUUUCAGGUUGACCUCGGAUCAGGUAGGGAUACCCGCUGAACUUAAGCAUAUCAAUAAGCGGAGGA
Molecule: unclassified non-coding RNA, 341 nt
Filed under: soil metagenome
Description: partial contains 5.8S ribosomal RNA, internal transcribed spacer 2, and large subunit ribosomal RNA
Rfam family: 5.8S ribosomal RNA (bases 1-120)
Source: RNAcentral